GCAAGUCGAACGAUGAACCACCUUCGGGUGGGGAUUAGUGGCGAACGGGUGAGUAACACGUGGGCAAUCUGCCCUGCACUCUGGGACAAGCCCUGGAAACGGGGUCUAAUACCGGAUACUGACCCUCGCAGGCAUCUGCGAGGUUCGAAAGCUCCGGCGGUGCAGGAUGAGCCCGCGGCCUAUCAGCUAGUUGGUGAGGUAAUGGCUCACCAAGGCGACGACGGGUAGCCGGCCUGAGAGGGCGACCGGCCACACUGGGACUGAGACACGGCCCAGACUCCUACGGGAGGCAGCAGUGGGGAAUAUUGCACAAUGGGCGAAAGCCUGAUGCAGCGACGCCGCGUGAGGGAUGACGGCCUUCGGGUUGUAAACCUCUUUCAGCAGGGAAGAAGCGAAAGUGACGGUACCUGCAGAAGAAGCGCCGGCUAACUACGUGCCAGCAGCCGCGGUAAUACGUAGGGCGCAAGCGUUGUCCGGAAUUAUUGGGCGUAAAGAGCUCGUAGGCGGCUUGUCACGUCGGUUGUGAAAGCCCGGGGCUUAACCCCGGGUCUGCAGUCGAUACGGGCAGGCUAGAGUUCGGUAGGGGAGAUCGGAAUUCCUGGUGUAGCGGUGAAAUGCGCAGAUAUCAGGAGGAACACCGGUGGCGAAGGCGGAUCUCUGGGCCGAUACUGACGCUGAGGAGCGAAAGCGUGGGGAGCGAACAGGAUUAGAUACCCUGGUAGUCCACGCCGUAAACGGUGGGCACUAGGUGUGGG
Molecule: ribosomal RNA, 755 nt
Filed under: Streptomyces mutabilis
Lineage: Bacteria; Bacillati; Actinomycetota; Actinomycetes; Kitasatosporales; Streptomycetaceae
Description: bacterial SSU rRNA
Rfam family: Bacterial small subunit ribosomal RNA
Source: RNAcentral